Molecule: long non-coding RNA, 3697 nt
Organism: Tribolium castaneum (red flour beetle)
Lineage: Eukaryota; Metazoa; Arthropoda; Insecta; Coleoptera; Tenebrionidae
Exons: 2
Source: RefSeq, a predicted model, not a curated record
UAAAAGACCAUUAAACAAAAACUAUAUUUAUUUAAUUUUUUACAUUUCGGAAUUCAACAAUUAUGCAGGAACCAAAUGAUCGUAGUAAUAUUCUUUAUUAAUAAAAAAUUCAACAUGUUUUUCAAUUUUUUGACAUAGAAUUCGUAAUAUUUAAGUGUGUCAGAAUUUGAUGAUAAUAAUAAUAAUUACAAUAUUUUCUUUUAAUGUCAAUGUAUUUUCGAAAUCAAGUGAAGCAAAGUUAUAAUUUUUUUUUAUUGCAUGAAAUGGACAUUUUAUUACAUUAAUACCAUCAGAUUAUUUAGACUUUGAAAUUUGUUUUGAAAUUAAUAAACCAGAUGGCUUCACCUUUUUAUUAAAUUUACAUUCAAAAUAUUUUAUAGCAUUUUGUUUCUUAUAAACAAAUAUUUAUUGUAACCCUACAGCAAAUAAACUGAAAUUAUGAAACGUAAAUAAUUUUUGAUUUUUUUUAAAUUAUCUUAUUUGGAAAUCAAUUUUCCAUAUGCACAAUUUGUUUACAGCACGAGCGCAAGGAGUGCUGCAUGAGUUGCGAAAUUAAUAAACACAGUUUUAUAACAAUGGUAAUGUAAUACCGAUUUUAAUUAAUAUGAGAAAAACAGUUUUUAAUUAAAUUAACGAAGAAAUAAAAUAACCAAAAGUGUUGUUGCAGAACAGUUUUGUCUUGUACGUGUACACGUCUUUUUCAGGGCUGUUACAUUAAACAUAAAAAAAAUUUCACCAAAAAAAUUUAAUUUUGUAAAAUUUACGUUCUCGAGAAUGGGAUUUCGCAUAUUUUUAUAUUUUAAGAAAUUAUUAAGGAAAGGAAGGAAACGCGCGACACCCACUUCGGCGUAGGUUUCUAAAAGAAAUUUGAAGCUAAUUUCUACAUUUCACCUUUUUUAGCAUUUUAGCAUUAAUUGUUUUGAAGGCGCUUUAGCUUUUAAAUAUCAAAUAUAAAUUGUUCUUUACGUUACAUCUUCGUCAAAUCUACGUUUCAUAUGCUCUCAGCAAUGUAAGAAUACAAGAGGUGUUUUAACAUAGUUUUACGGUUGUAACAAUCAGCAAUACUUAUUAUAUUUAAGAAUUGCUUUAAUUAGUCAAAUUAAUAACUAAUUUGUCCAGCAAGAACCAUAUGGAGGUUUAGAGCAUUCUUGUCAGGAAAAAAGGACGUAAGAAUGAGGUAAACAAUGAUUUUGAAAAUGAUGGGAAUAAAGGAAUUAUUGGUUUGUGAAAUGAAAAAAAAACAACACAAAAAUCAAUUUUUUUUCACUUGGUCUUAAAUGAAAUGCACUUGUUUUUAUAUGGCAUCUGCUACCAGUUGUAGCAAACAUUAAAAAUAAAUUAAAAACAAAACCAAUAAAAAAAGCUUUACAGCAAGCGACUUUCAUCGAUUGAAAUUAAAAGACAAAAUCAGUACAACGUGUCAAUAAAUUAUUUGAGUGUUUUAUUUUAUUUAUACUUUUUGUGUUUGAAAUAUCUCACUCAAACUAUCACUUUUCAACACCUCACUUAAAAAAUUAAAAUGCACUUCCGCUAGAGUUUGUAGCAAGAGAUUAAAAAUAAAUUAAUUGGGCAUGAAAAAAAAUGCACUAACCUUCAUGACAUGACGUCUUGUGCUUCCAAAGCAUCAUCUUCUUAAACGGACCUACUGAAAUAGAAUACAAUGAAAUUAGAAUAAUGUGCCCUUAAAUUAUGGUGCUAUUUUCUAACUUCUGUUACUAUGUUAUUGCUCUAUUACUGUAAAAAUUACAGCUGUUAUUUAAAUUUAUAUUCUGUAAACUCUGUUACCCUCUGUUAGUAACAUUAACAUUCUUUGUUAAAUAAAGCGCCAUAAACUAACAGUGACAGUGAGAGGUCGUGAAUUUUUACGAUGUUUCACCAAAUUAACAAGAAAUUGCAUUAAAAAUGUGAUAAGUGAAUAAAACAAGAAGCUUAGAAUCACGCAAACAAUUUGACCUUUGGUUUUUAAAGUGUUGGAAAACGAAGAAAGGGGAUAAGAUUGAUUUUAGAAAAAAAUCAACUGGUAUAAUUAUCCAUAAUGUUGCAAAGGUAAAUUUUUGGCAAUCCUAAAUGGGAAUGAACACAACUUAAAAUUCGUCAGGAACCAAAAUUUGUGUAUAUAAAAAAUUUAACACUGUGUACUCUUCAUUUUGGAAACAUUAUUUGUAUUAUUUAUUUCAAAUUAUAUUUUUUGUCAUUUAAUAGUUAUUUCGUUUCUUUCAAGUUCUGUUUCUCCCUUUUGUUUUGUUUUUGGCAGUUUUGUACUGCCCAGAAUAAAAUAAUUUAUCCAACACGAGAUCCUACAGAAAAUAUUUGAAAACAAAAAAUGUGUUUUUUUUUCAAUAGACAAGGAUAUGCUUUGCCUUGAUCUGCACUCGUCUUCUUCAUUCACUUUUUUUAACAUUUUAGUGAAACUUUUCGGGGUAUUAUAAAUUCGAAAUGAUAAGUUUAUGAAAACUUCUUGACAUUUUCGAAUAAAAUAUUUGAAUCAAAAAGUAAGUCAUACGUCAAAAUCGACUUCCAUUAUCUCUAAAAUUACAUUUUCGAACAAAUGGGAACGCUAUUACCCUUAUUUUAACAGAGACAGUUAGAGAAUCGCAAAUUAGACAGCUGUGUUAGGCGGUGUCAUGUUGCUAACACUCUAUAAACGUAACAGUAUAACAGAGAUAGUUAGAGAUAAAAUACCACCAUUAGUUGGAUAAAAUACAGAUUUUAUGUGAUUUCCUAAAAAUAAAUCACUGUAGAUUUACCCUUUAAUCCAGAUUGUUUCCUUCUAGUCUAUUCUAUUACACUAACACAUACACUACACUAACCGCGAUCACUAGCCACCGAAUUUCAAGUUUGGUCGCAAAGUUGCGCGGGUCGCUGUUGCUUAGUAGCAACGAAUGACAUUGCUAGAUUUGCGCCGUUGCUAUGUCAAUCAUGAUUUGCGCGGGUCGUAACUCAACUUGAAAUUAGGCUCUUACGGGCCAAUUUCAAGUUGUGAGAUACGACCGGUGCAAAUCACGGUCGCAGUGCAACUUUGCGCGGGUGAUUUGCGCGCUCUCUGCGACCACGAGAUGCGUCCGAUCUCAAGUCGAUAAAGUGCUAUGUCGCAGCGUAGCAGCAACUUUUGUCCGUGAUGCAAAAUUUUGCGCCGGUCACGUGACUUUCGAAAUGUCAAAUUUUAAUUUUGAGUUUUGCUUUUGUGUUCAAAGUGAAAAGAAAAAUCAAGGAACGAUUAAAAAUGCCGGCGGUCGAAAAACAGGAUGAAAAUACAAGUGCUGAUUAAUGAAAUUUAAAAGCGUUGAGGCAUUUUGUUUGAGGCAUCGUUGGGGCAUAAAAAAGACCUUCACUGACUUAAUUUCACCGAGAAAGGACCUACAACCAGGUCGAGUCACACGUAAAUUCAGUUACUCCAAGAACAAGGACAGUGGAUGGUUUGAAAAAGAAAUUUGAAGUCAUUGAACAAGUGCAAGGCUUUUGUUAAUAAUGCUGUUAAACUGGAAUUGCCGAAAAGCAGCCUCCAAGCUCAUUCUUUUACAGAAACUUGAUCAGAACUGAUUUAAGAAGUUCCAAAAAGUAAAAUUAGUAACUGCGAUCUACCUCAAACUUACCUCUACAUAUUUUAUAGUUAAAACGGUGACUUUAAUACUUAUAGUUGUGUAAAUUUUCAGUGUGGAUGUACAUAACCUUACCAUACUAAAAAAGCUGUAGUUCA